This 404-nucleotide long non-coding RNA is filed under the name Chinchilla lanigera (long-tailed chinchilla). Its description in RNAcentral is "lncRNA (ENSCLAG00000027798.1)". Lineage: Eukaryota; Metazoa; Chordata; Mammalia; Rodentia; Chinchillidae. The record is from RNAcentral.
GGGGCGGCGGAAUUCCCCGGCGCCGCCGGCCUGCGCGCCCAUUGGCCCGCACCCCAUCGUGACGUCACGCCAGGGGAAUGGGAAAACCCCGCGCAUCACGUGAUUUCGGGGGCGGGCCUGGCCGGGAAAGGGAGGCUGGGCGCUGUAGAGGGGCAAGGCUUGCGUCGCUGCCCAAGGACUUGAACCUGCUGACUCUCAGGCUGAAGGGAAGCUUCAGGAGUGGGAAGUUGCCGGGGCUCUGCUGCUGCCGUUGGUGACAGUGAUCUUCAUCAAACCCUCAAGGUCGCUCCUCGCCUCAGUCUCUUCCACUGUAAAUAAGGGAUAAAGAUACUGAACCAGCGUUUAAAGCUAUGACAUCAGAAUGUAGAUUUUUGUUUUGUUCCUUGUGUCCCCAACAUGCAAAA